CCGCUUGUCACAUUCGUGAGUAGAUGAAAACAAGAGCUAAAGCGUACCUACACAACACGUUGCUAAUAGUGAUAGUCGUUUUCUCCUAUUUGAAAGUAGAAAUCUAAUUAAUAAUCUAAGUAAAUUGAAUUAUACCAGUGCUUAAACUACCGUAUAACUUAACGCUAAAGAGUGCAUAUAACCUAUUUUUCUGAAACCGAAUCAGAACCGCUGCCAAUAAAUAUCUACUACGCCGGAAUUUCUAAGACCCUUCGGGAAUUACACUAGGGGAAGUAAACGUA
Armigeres subalbatus is the source of this 281-nucleotide long non-coding RNA. RefSeq lists it as uncharacterized. The record is from RefSeq and is a predicted model, not a curated record. The transcript has 3 exons. NCBI's taxonomy places the organism in Eukaryota, Metazoa, Arthropoda, Insecta, Diptera, Culicidae.